CUCUGCAAUCCUAUAAGAUAUAUGGUUUUUAUUAUUCUUAAUUAUUCUAUAAUAUUAGAAUAUGUUAUAAUUGUCUAUCAUAAAGUGGUUAACUAAAUAUGUAACGGCCCAAACACUAAUAUAGUUUAGGUGUUAGGCAUAUAAAAAUCCCUCCUAUAUAAUUUCAUAUCAAUGACUAGCUUGUAGUUACAAACCAAACCUCCUAUCUCUAGGCUCGGGCCUUAGCUAGUUUGCAAUAUUAACCAACUCUCGUGCAACACCAAAUUCUGAGGUUACAAGAGAGAAGAAUAAUAUAUAUUUCUUGACUUUGGCCGAAAAUUUGAGUUCUUGAAAGCAACCUAUAGCCACAAGCUAAAAUUAAUAAGUUUGAGUAGACCACAAUUAUAUAUUCUUUGCUUGUUCGUUUGUUUAAGGCUAUGCCAUGUAGUUAGCACUUGGCACCUACUCCAUAUUAAAAACAAAUAACUCUACACGACCACUCUCUUUUGUUGGUUCAUUUGUGGUCUAAUGCAGUUAAGUUUGCUGUAAUUAGGUGAAUUCCAGCUACCUUCUUUUGUCUCCACAUGCUUUCUUUUCAUCCCUUACGUGCAGAGACAAAACUUCAUGUGCUGAAUAGAGUCAUUUGCAUGCAAUCCGGUGGAAAAGCAAUCAAUUGUUGAGUGAGUUCAUGAAUGAUAAUAAAUAGUUAAUUAUCACCAUAGAUCUUGCUUGUAACUUUUUUCUUUCAACUAUGUUGGUGUUUGUUGUUUCUUUUGAAUAUGUUUUGUUGUUUUGAGAAUGAGUUAGAAAUAUUUUGUCUUUCUUGAUUCUUUUAUGUAUUGUAGUUAGGUAUUUAGUGCCUUUUAUUUUAAUAUAUUCUAUUUGUUAGAAACUUAGAAUACUAUUAUACUUGUCGACAAAGUUAAUGAAUACUACUCCAUAUAAUAGUUAGAACUGUUUUUUUUUUUAAUUAAUUUUAUCAAUUGGUGUGUUCACAGUUGAAAAAAAUGAUUACUUCUACAUUAAAAUAGUCAAAUGAUAUUUUGAAAUUAUUUAUUUC
RNAcentral lists this long non-coding RNA (1039 nucleotides) under Lathyrus oleraceus (garden pea). RNAcentral describes it as "Pisum sativum (pea) long non-coding RNA (PSAT_LNC013026)". The record is from RNAcentral. Lineage: Eukaryota; Viridiplantae; Streptophyta; Magnoliopsida; Fabales; Fabaceae.